CCUUCUUUACACACUGGUUAAACUGUAAUGGCUUGCUCCCUCUCCUCUCUGCCAGUCCAUCGACUCAGUUCCCAUUUUUGUCCUCAGAAAGAAACACUGGAGACGUGUUUAUGGAGUAGCAGCAGACCAACUCAACUCUCCCUGAGCAACGAGGAAAAGAAACAAAAAUGACCUGAAAAUUCAACAAAAUAUGACCAGGAUAUCUUCAGAAACUCACCAAGCCUCAGCUCCCAAAUUCCAGAUGCUACCAUGAUGCCAACCUGACUUCUCUGAGCAGAUGACUUCACCAAUGUGUCCUGGAAUCCCACCUCUCUAGAGCCCUAUCCCACUAGGGGAAGAGAGAGAGAGGCUGGGAGCAUGGAUUGAUCUGCCAACACCUAUGUUCAGCAGAGAAGCAAUUACAGAAGCCAGACCUCCACUUUCUGCACCCCAUAAUGAUCCUGGGUCCAUACUCCCAGAGGGAUAAAGAAGAAGAAAGCUUUCAAGAGAGGGGAUAGGAUAUGGAGUUCUGGUGGUAGGAAUUGUGUGGAAUUGAAUUGUGCCCCUCUUAUCCUAUGGUCUUGUCAAUAUUUCCAUUUUAUAAAUAAAUUUAAAAAACAU
Molecule: long non-coding RNA, 600 nt
Organism: Erinaceus europaeus (western European hedgehog)
Lineage: Eukaryota; Metazoa; Chordata; Mammalia; Eulipotyphla; Erinaceidae
Exons: 2
Source: RefSeq, a predicted model, not a curated record